This 89-nucleotide transfer RNA is filed under the name Candidatus Limadaptatus stercorigallinarum. Its description in RNAcentral is "tRNA-Ser". It matches the Rfam family "tRNA". From Rfam's summary of the family: Transfer RNA (tRNA) molecules are approximately 80 nucleotides in length. Their secondary structure includes four short double-helical elements and three loops (D, anti-codon, and T loops). RNAcentral also lists the same sequence under 1 other name. Lineage: Bacteria; Bacillati; Bacillota; Clostridia; Eubacteriales. The record is from RNAcentral.
GGAGGCGUAUCGAAGCGGUCAUAACGAGGUGGUCUUGAAAACCAUUUGGCGGCAACGCCACGGGGGUUCGAAUCCCUCCGCCUCCGCCA